This 484-nucleotide ribosomal RNA is filed under the name uncultured bacterium. Its description in RNAcentral is "partial 16S ribosomal RNA". It matches the Rfam family "Bacterial small subunit ribosomal RNA", at positions 30 to 507 of the family's 1533-position model. The record is from RNAcentral.
AUUGAACGCUGGCGGCAGGCCUAACACAUGCAAGUCGAGCGGAUGAAGGGAGCUUGCUCCUGGAUUCAGCGGCGGACGGGUGAGUAAUGCCUAGGAAUCUGCCUGGUAGUGGGGGAUAACGUCCGGAAACGGGCGCUAAUACAGCAUACGUCCUGAGGGAGAAAGUGGGGGAUCUUCGGACCUCACGCUAUCAGAUGAGCCUAGGUCGGAUUAGCUAGUUGGUGGGGUAAAGGCCUACCAAGGCGACGAUCCGUAACUGGUCUGAGAGGAUGAUCAGUCACACUGGAACUGAGACACGGUCCAGACUCCUACGGGAGGCAGCAGUGGGGAAUAUUGGACAAUGGGCGAAAGCCUGAUCCAGCCAUGCCGCGUGUGUGAAGAAGGUCUUCGGAUUGUAAAGCACUUUAAGUUGGGAGGAAGGGCAGUAAGUUAAUACCUUGCUGUUUUGACGUUACCAACAGAGUAAGCACCGGCUAACUUCGUG